This 432-nucleotide ribosomal RNA is filed under the name uncultured bacterium. RNAcentral describes it as "partial 16S ribosomal RNA". It matches the Rfam family "Bacterial small subunit ribosomal RNA", at positions 29 to 507 of the family's 1533-position model. The record is from RNAcentral.
AACGAACGCUGGCGGCAUGCCUAACACAUGCAAGUCGAACGAAGCCUUCGGGCUUAGUGGCGCACGGGUGCGUAACGCGUGGGAAUCUGCCCCUUGCUUCGGAAUAACAGUUAGAAAUGACUGCAAAUACCGGAUGAAGUCUUGGACCAAAGAUUUAUCGGCAAGGGAUGAGCCCGCGUAGGAUUAGGUAGUUGGUGGGGUAAAGGCCUACCAAGCCGACGAUCCUUAGCUGGUCUGAGAGGAUGAUCAGACGCACUGGGACUGAGACACAGCCCAGACUCCUACAGGAGGCAGCAGUGGGGAAUAUUGGACAAUGGACGCAAGUCUGAUACAGCAAUGCCGCGUGAGUGAUGAAGGCCUUAGGGUUGUAAAGCUCUUUUACCAGGGAUGAUAAUGACAGUACCUGGAGAAUAAGCUCCGGCUAACUCCGUG